GUGAAGAAUUAGAAUCGAACUAAACAUUAAAAUAACUUUGGUACGGUUCUUCGGUUCGGUACAGGAACCUCAAGAACCAUGCACUGCCCUAGUUGUGAUUUUGAUUAUGAGGUGCAAUAGCAGAAGGAUGAGGAUUUGAGACGUAGUUGUGAUAGUGAGGAGCAGAAUGUGCCUUAUUGGUAAUUUUUAUAAAUUUUGAUUUCCUAUGUGCAUAUAUGAAUUUCAUUUAUAUUAGAAAAGUGAAAGGUGACAACAAGGAAUUGAUUUUGUUUAUUUUAUCAAAUCAAACAUUGGUAUUUUCCUUUUGCUUUCAACCAAAAUAAGGGCAAAAGGAGAAAAAAAAGUAAGCUAAUUAAACAAAAUCUAAAUUGUUAUGUGCUGGCAAUAUGUGUAGGUUAUUAUGACACCUGCAAAGAUACUCGUUAGGUAUUUUAAGAGGAUAAUCUGGGGUCUUGAGGUCAUUUUGGGACCAGGUGGUACAAUAUUAUCCCUGACCAUUCAUGUUUAAAACCUACCUCAAGCCUUGCCUGGUACUGGUCAAGCAUGCUUCAACUCAGUGUGAUUGAUAAAGAUUGAUCUGCAGGCUGUUCUGAAUUUACCAUCUGUAUUGUGUGAUUGAAUAAACCAGAAUGAGAACUGCUUUAUAGUGAAAAUGGAAUUUUUAAAAUUCCAUUGAACUUUUAUCAUCUUUAUCUGUUAUCUGGACUAUGUUUUGUCCUCCACCCAAGAAAGGAAAAGAUAGCGUUGUUUUGGAAACACACCAAAGAAGUUGGGAAAAUAAAACCCUUAAUUUGCCAGCAACUCUUUUAUGGAUGGUACAGUGACAAGUUAGUGAUCUAGUUAUUUGGCUGACUUACACAUUAUUUUCAGUCUUUUCAUCUUGCUACUUUUGUUUGUUUCUUUUUAAAUGAUGUUCAUGCAGUAUUAUUUUAAGCUUUACAUGCUUGAUUUCCUUCUAAAUAUUUUUAAUUAUUUUCCUGCUAGCAUGUGAAACUGUGUGUACUCUCUUUUUUUUUUUUUUUUUUU
RNAcentral lists this unclassified non-coding RNA (1026 nucleotides) under Hevea brasiliensis (rubber tree). Lineage: Eukaryota; Viridiplantae; Streptophyta; Magnoliopsida; Malpighiales; Euphorbiaceae. The record is from RNAcentral.